RNAcentral lists this ribosomal RNA (895 nucleotides) under Microdochium sclerotiorum. RNAcentral describes it as "LSU rRNA". It matches the Rfam family "Eukaryotic large subunit ribosomal RNA", at positions 38 to 964 of the family's 3401-position model. Lineage: Eukaryota; Fungi; Ascomycota; Sordariomycetes; Xylariales; Microdochiaceae. The record is from RNAcentral.
GCAUAUCAAUAAGCGGAGGAAAAGAAACCAACAGGGAUUGCCCCAGUAACGGCGAGUGAAGCGGCAACAGCUCAGAUUUGAAAUCUGGUCCCCAGGGCCCGAGUUGUAAUCUGUAGAGGAUGUUUCUGGCAAGGCGCCGUCCGAGUUCCCUGGAACGGGACGCCGGAGAGGGUGAGAGCCCCGUACAGGCGGACGCCGAGCCUCUGUGAAACUCCUUCGACGAGUCGAGUAGUUUGGGAAUGCUGCUCAAAGCGGGAGGUAAAUUUCUUCUAAAGCUAAAUAUAGGCCAGAGACCGAUAGCGCACAAGUAGAGUGAUCGAAAGAUGAAAAGCACUUUGAAAAGAGGGUUAAAAAGCACGUGAAAUUGUUGAAAGGGAAGCGCCUGUGACCAGACUCGCGCCCGGCGUAUCAUCCGGCGUUCUCGCCGGUGCACUACGUCGGGCUCGGGCCAGCAUCGGUUCUAGUGGGGGGAUAAAGGCGGCGGGGAUGUGGCUCCCCCGGGAGUGUUAUAGCCCGCCGCUCAAUGCCCCCGCCGGGACCGAGGACCGCGCAUUGCAAGGAUGCUGGCGUAAUGGUCACCAGCGACCCGUCUUGAAACACGGACCAAGGAGUCAAGCAUUAGGGCGAGUGUUUGGGUGUAAAACCCGCACGCGAAAUGAAAGUGAACGUAGGUGGGAGCCUCGGCGCACCAUCGACCGAUCCUGAUGUCUUCGGAUGGAUUUGAGUAAGAGCCUUAACGCUUGGACCCGAAAGAUGGUGAACUAUGCUUGUGUAGGGUGAAGCCAGAGGAAACUCUGGUGGAGGCUCGCAGCGGUUCUGACGUGCAAAUCGAUCGUCAAACAUGAGCAUGGGGGCGAAAGACUAAUCGAACCAUCUAGUAGCUGGUUACCGCCGA